GUGUAGCGGUGAAAUGCGUAGAUAUGUGGAGGACUCCCGGUGGCAAAGGCGACUCUCUGGUCUGUAACUGACGCUGGGGCGCGAAUGCUGGGGGAGCAAACAGGAUUAGAUACCCUGGUAGUCCACGCCGUAAACGAUGAGUGCUAAGUGUUAGGGGGUUUCCGCCCCUUAGUGCUGCAGCUAACGCAUUAAGCACUCCGCCUGGGGAGUACGACCGCAAGGUUGAAACUCAAAGGAAUUGACGGGGGCCCGCACAAGCGGUGGAGCAUGUGGUUUAAUUCGAAGCAACGCGAAGAACCUUACCAGGUCUUGACAUCCUUUGGCCACUCUGGAGACAGAGCUUUCCCUUCGGGGACAAAGUGACAGGUGGUGCAUGGUUGUCGUCAGCUCGUGUCGUGAGAUGUUGGGUUAAGUCCCGCAACGAGCGCAACCCUUGAUUUUAGUUGCCAGCAUUUAGUUGGGCACUCUAAAGUGACUGCCGGUGCAAGCCGGAGGAAGGUGGGGAUGACGUCAAAUCAUCAUGCCCCUUAUGACCUGGGCUACACACGUGCUACAAUGGAUAGUACAAAGGGUCGCGAAGCCGCGAGGUGGAGCUAAUCUCAUAAAACUAUUCUCAGUUCGGAUUGUAGGCUGCAACUCGCCUACAUGAAGCCGGAAUCGCUAGUAAUCGUGGAUCAGCAUGCCACGGUGAAUACGUUCCCGGGCCUUGUACACACCGCCCGUCACACCACGAGAGUUUGUAACACCCGAAGUCGGUAGGGUAACCUUUAUGGAGCCAGCCGCCGAAGGUGGGACAGAUAAUUGGGGUGAAGUCGUAACAAGGUAGCCGUAUCGGAAGGUGCGGCUGG
This 848-nucleotide ribosomal RNA is filed under the name Listeria monocytogenes. RNAcentral describes it as "bacterial SSU rRNA". It matches the Rfam family "Bacterial small subunit ribosomal RNA", at positions 673 to 1521 of the family's 1533-position model. Lineage: Bacteria; Bacillati; Bacillota; Bacilli; Caryophanales; Listeriaceae. The record is from RNAcentral.